RNAcentral lists this small RNA (437 nucleotides) under Pongo abelii (Sumatran orangutan). Its description in RNAcentral is "processed transcript". Lineage: Eukaryota; Metazoa; Chordata; Mammalia; Primates; Hominidae. The record is from RNAcentral.
CGACCGUAUACCGGGGGUUUUGUUGGUGAGAGUUCCGGGGAGCGGCCUGGAGAGAGGUGGAGGCGAAGUCUAGUUUCGCUUCAGGGAGGCUCAGACACUGUGGGGUCAAGUCGGCGGUGGAGGCCCUAGGCCCAGCCUGUGGAGACGGGCGGGGACUCGGCCUGGGCAGUCCUGGGAGAAGCUGAGCCGGCUCUGCCUGAAGCCAGUUCUCUUGCCGCAGGUGCUGGUGGACAGCGCGGAAGAGGGGUCCCUCGUUGCGGCGGCGGAGCUGGCCGCUCAGAAGCGCGAACAGAGACUGCGCAAAUUCCGGGAGCUGCACCUGAUGCGGAAUGAAGCUCGUAAAUUAAAUCACCAGGAAGUUGUGGAAGAAGAUAAAAGACUAAAAUUACCUGCAAAUUGGGAAGCCAAAAAAGCUCGUUUGGAGUGGGAACUACAGG